GAUGAAGAACGCAGCGAAAUGCGAUAAGUAAUGUGAAUUGCAGAAUUCAGUGAAUCAUCGAGUCUUUGAACGCACAUUGCGCCCCCCGGUAUUCCGGGGGGCAUGCCUGUCCGAGCGUCAUUGCUGCCCUCAAGCACGGCUUGUGUGUUGGGCCUCCGUCCUCCUCCCGGGGGACGGGCCCGAAAGGCAGCGGCGGCACCGCGUCCGGUCCUCGAGCGUAUGGGGCUUCGUCACCCGCUCUUGUAGGCCCGGCCGGCGCUUGCCGACACAUCAAUCUUUUUUCCAGGUUGACCUCGGAUCAGGUAGGGAUACCCGCUGAACUUAAGCAUAUCAAUAAGCGGAGGA
RNAcentral lists this unclassified non-coding RNA (345 nucleotides) under soil metagenome. RNAcentral's name for it is "partial contains 5.8S ribosomal RNA, internal transcribed spacer 2, and large subunit ribosomal RNA". The stretch from base 1 to 120 matches the Rfam family "5.8S ribosomal RNA", at positions 35 to 154 of the family's 154-position model. The record is from RNAcentral.